Molecule: unclassified non-coding RNA, 2921 nt
Filed under: Pogonomyrmex barbatus (red harvester ant)
Lineage: Eukaryota; Metazoa; Arthropoda; Insecta; Hymenoptera; Formicidae
Description: uncharacterized LOC112552565, transcript variant X1
Source: RNAcentral
UAAUCUUAUUAAUUUCCGAACCCGGCAACCGACGAGCACGUCCGCGCACCUGAACUCGCACCGCAUCCGGUGAGGACGGACCAUUAUAACGCUAUCCCGCAAACCGUGAGAGUGAGCCGCGAACCGAACCGAUCCGACACGUAACCGUUUUAACGAGAUAGAUGUCUGCCGGGCUGAAGGCUUGCAAUUAAGAUCCUGGGAUCUUAACCUGAGAUCUCACCUGAGAUGGAGGAUGGCCAUCUACAAUCGAGAGAUGGGAUGGAUCGAGAGACCUCUUCCUAUUCGAACUCCUACUACUGAUGCAGCGAGGAGCCCAACUGAAGCAGCAGAGUCAGUUGAAGGACGAAGGACCAACUCGAGACCACACUCACCGCCUGGCACAAAUCUAACAAUCUGACAUCGAAAUAAUCGUCGGUGAUUUUAACGCAAAAAUUGGAAACUACAAUGACGGCUUGAGGCAUGUCAUGGGCAAGUACUCCCGAAUAUGACGAUAGAUAACGGAAAUCGAUUAAUCAAUAUCUGCUCUAGCCAGCAGUUAUGCAUCGGCAGCACGAAGUUUCCUUACAAAAACAUAUACAAAUAUACAUGACAGUCACUGGACGAACUAGAAACCAAAUCGACCUAUCCUGAUAAGUAGGAAGGUUCUCAAUUUGUUACUUGAUACUAAACUAAACGCAGCGCGAUCAUAGGCAGUAAUUAUCAGCUGUUAAUGGGAACUAUCAGAUUGCGAUUAGCCGCUUUUCGGAUAGGAAAAAAUUUGUCAAACGAUUCAAUGUUAACAGGCUGAGAGAUCCUGCCGUGAUAGAGGCCUUCGACCAGCGCCUCGAAAGGGAACAGGAACUCGAGAGUCAGCUCUGGACUAGAAGCAUAUUGAGUUCGUGUUGUAGAGUGGCCGAGGAAACACUGGGAUUCAUGAGACGUAAUAGCAAACUAUGGAUCAGGAGGUUAUGUGGUUUAAAAUCGAGCGUAGAUGAGCAAAAGUUCGACUGGAUCAACAUCCAGAAGAUCUGGAUUGGGAAGCGAGAAUAGUAUAACAACCUUGAGUGAUCUGUUUAACCGAUUAUGAAGACAAACACAGGUUUUACAACGACAUCACAAGUAAAGUUGAAAGAGCCGCGAAUCAAGGAGAUAUACAUAGGCACGUAGGCAUAUACAUGGCAAUCUGUAAACUGUCGGGGAAGAGCAUCCCCUCCUGUCCUCCACUCAAAUCCGAAAACGGUCGCACAUUAACAACAGACGGAACAGUCGAUGGAAUGAGUUUUUCUCCUCCCAGGCAUCUCGCCGCGAAGAAUCGAGUCCGUUGCAGCUACCACAAUGCCCGCCGUGACAUUCUUAUAAAAGUUCCCUGAGAGAGAUGGAAUCCGCCAUCAAGAAGUUGAAAUCCCAAAACAAAGUCCCAGGUGGUCGCCGAACUACUUAAAUGCAAUCCGCGAUGCAUGGCGAGAGUUCUUCCCUAAUCCGUGAUGCCUGAAACAUGAGGUGUGUCCCAGACCGUUGAAAGAAUGGGGUAAUUAUCACAAUCCCUAAAAAGGAUGACUUAAGUCUAUGCAGGAACUAGUGGGGCUAUUGAACUUACGCUAUUAAACUCGAUUGAAAAGCUGCUCGUGACCAUCAUCCAUCCGUCUGAUUCCCAUGAUGGACGAACUGCUCUGGCCAAACCAGGUCGGUUUUCGCAAGGAACGUUCAUGCACAGAUCAGAUCAACAUCUUAAGGAUAAUCAUAGAGCAGUCAAUGGAAUGGCGGUCACCUUCUAUCUCCUCUUUGAUUUUGAUGAUGGCUUUUGACACGCUGGAUCGAGAGGCUAUUUGGAGGACACUGGAAAAUCUGAGAGUCCCGGAGUCGUUAUCAUCGAGUCGAUUCGUGGUGUAUCGAGGUGUACUCAUCCACUACAUGCAGGGUUCAACACCAUGGUGCAGGAGGCGAGCUAUUCAUCAUCUCGACGGGAGUCAGGCAAGGAUACAUUCUAUCGUCCUUCUUGUUCCUAGUCGCGCUUGAUAAUACUGGAACGCAUCAACGUCGAGGCCCCUAAUGGCAUUUAAUUCACGCUGAACAUCCGGCUGUACGAUCUAGGCUACGGAUAACUAGUGUUGAUGUCCAACAGCUAUGGCCGCAUCAAAGAAAAAUUGGAUCGGUUGCAGCACAAUGCUGAGAAGGACUGGGAAUCAAGAAGACAAAACCAAGAAGACAAAAGUAAUGCGAAUAGGCACAAGUAACCAGCUAUUGCUUCUUAGCAGCGACGUAAUUGACAACGUCGAUGAUUUCUGUUAUUUCGGCGCCAUUGUGAACAAAAUAGGAGGCAGACAUUGAGAACCGUAUCAAUCGUGCUCGGGAUGCUUAUUUCGCCUUAGGCAAGAUGUGGAAGUCAAACUUUAUGUCCAGAAACUUAUGUCUCAAGUUCCGCGUCUUCGAUGUUUGCGUUAUUAGCAUUCUUCUCUAUAGAUGCGAAACAUGGGAAAAGCACCAAAAUCUCAGACGCCUCGAAACAUUUAUCAACAGAUGUCUGCGUCACAUAUUCCGUGUUUUUUGGCCUAAUUGCAUCUCUAAUAUCGAACUGUUACGGCUAGCCAAUAAUUGAUGCCCGCUUGCCAAGGAAGAUUACGCCAAAAAUGGCGAUAGAUUGGACAUACAUUCCGACGCCCCACCGGAGACAUCGCCAAAACUACACUUGACUGAAAGGCAAUCCUCAAGGCAAUCGACGUUCCGGCCGACCGAGCAAUACAUGGCGCCGUAAUCGAUCAAGAAGUCGCAAGCAAAAGCAAAACAUAGCGACAGUUGGAGAUGAUGGCGGGGAACCGAGAGGCUUGGAAGAUCUGGAUUGACGCGCAAUGCGCCUAAGGGGCGCGAUUGCUACUGCUUAAUGAACCGGAGGUUAUAAUUUUUAUGUAACAUUUGUUUUUCUGAAUUAAACCAUGUAACAAGUA